This 301-nucleotide ribosomal RNA is filed under the name uncultured bacterium. RNAcentral's name for it is "partial 16S ribosomal RNA". It matches the Rfam family "Bacterial small subunit ribosomal RNA", at positions 509 to 810 of the family's 1533-position model. The record is from RNAcentral.
CAGUAGCCACGGUAAUACGUAGGUGGCAAGCGUUGUUCGGAUUUACUGGGCGUAAAGGGCGCGUAGGCGGACUGAUAAGUCAGGGGUGAAAUCCCAAGGCUCAACCUUGGAACUGCCUUUGAUACUGUUUGUCUUGAGUUCGAGAGAGGUAGUGGAACUGCGAGUGUAGAGGUGAAAUUCGUAGAUAUUCGCAAGAACACCAGUGGCGAAGGCGGCUUACUGGCUCGAAACUGACGCUGAGGCGCGAAAGCGUGGGGAGCAAACAGGAUUAGAUACCCCAGUAGUCCCUGUCUUUAUACAC